AGUGAACGCUGGCGGUAGGCCUAACACAUGCAAGUCGAACGGCAGCACAGUAAGAGCUUGCUCUUACGGGUGGCGAGUGGCGGACGGGUGAGGAAUACAUCGGAAUCUACUUUUUCGUGGGGGAUAACGUAGGGAAACUUACGCUAAUACCGCAUACGACCUACGGGUGAAAGCAGGGGAUCUUCGGACCUUGCGCGAUUGAAUGAGCCGAUGUCGGAUUAGCUAGUUGGCGGGGUAAAAGUCCACCAAGGCGACGAUCCGUAGCUGGUCUGAGAGGAUGAUCAGCCACACUGGAACUGAGACACGGUCCAGACUCCUACGGGAGGCAGCAGUGGGGAAUAUUGGACAAUGGGCGCAAGCCUGAUCCAGCCAUACCGCGUGGGUGAAGAAGGCCUUCGGGUUGUAAAGCCCUUUUGUUGGGAAAGAAAAGCAGCAGGUUAAUACCCCGCUGUUCUGACGGUACCCAAAGAAUAAGCACCGGCUAACUUCGUG
RNAcentral lists this ribosomal RNA (492 nucleotides) under uncultured bacterium. Its description in RNAcentral is "partial 16S ribosomal RNA". It matches the Rfam family "Bacterial small subunit ribosomal RNA", at positions 29 to 507 of the family's 1533-position model. The record is from RNAcentral.